This 590-nucleotide ribosomal RNA is filed under the name Salmonella enterica. RNAcentral's name for it is "partial 23S ribosomal RNA". It matches the Rfam family "Bacterial large subunit ribosomal RNA", at positions 956 to 1547 of the family's 2925-position model. Lineage: Bacteria; Pseudomonadati; Pseudomonadota; Gammaproteobacteria; Enterobacterales; Enterobacteriaceae. The record is from RNAcentral.
GCGAAUACCGGAGAAUGUUAUCACGGGAGACACACGGCGGGUGCUAACGUCCGUCGUGAAGAGGGAAACAACCCAGACCGCCAGCUAAGGUCCCAAAGUCAUGGUUAAGUGGGAAACGAUGUGGGAAGGCCCAGACAGCCAGGAUGUUGGCUUAGAAGCAGCCAUCAUUUAAAGAAAGCGUAAUAGCUCACUGGUCGAGUCGGCCUGCGCGGAAGAUGUAACGGGGCUAAACCAUGCACCGAAGCUGCGGCAGCGACGCUGAUGCGUUGUUGGGUAGGGGAGCGUUCUGUAAGCCUGCGAAGGUGGCCUGUGAGGGUUGCUGGAGGUAUCAGAAGUGCGAAUGCUGACAUAAGUAACGAUAAAGCGGGUGAAAAGCCCGCUCGCCGGAAGACCAAGGGUUCCUGUCCAACGUUAAUCGGGGCAGGGUGAGUCGACCCCUAAGGCGAGGCCGAAAGGCGUAGUCGAUGGGAAACGGGUUAAUAUUCCCGUACUUGGUGUUACUGCGAAGGGGGGACGGAGAAGGCUAUGUUGGCCGGGCGACGGUUGUCCCGGUUUAAGCGUGUAGGUGUGUGUUCCAGGUAAAUCCGGUU